This is a long non-coding RNA of Macadamia integrifolia, 2029 nucleotides long. RefSeq lists it as uncharacterized. The transcript is spliced from 2 exons. The record is from RefSeq and is a predicted model, not a curated record. Lineage: Eukaryota; Viridiplantae; Streptophyta; Magnoliopsida; Proteales; Proteaceae.
AAAAAAAAAACACAAAUCCUUAUCUCAUUUUAUAAGUAAACCACUAAUUUGUGGUUUUCCUGCAUGCAUACAUGUUGGGUAUGAUUUCCUGAGUGUUUCUGUAAGCUAGAUUAUGGAUAACAAAGUCACCAAGUUUUCAUACUUUCGUAAUUCCGAAGGCCUGUGAACUUUGCAACAUAUCAUGGUCUCAGUUGUUAGGAGGGUGUCUUCACAAGAAUUUCCAUGUUUUAUUCUCUCAGCAUUUUUGGCGUUUUUGUAGCUUGUACUCAUCUAUCCACAAAAAAGGUAAGUGCAUUAAUUUUCAUUUUUCCAAUUCUUGCAGUAAAUACCGAUACGAACAACAAAAGAAAAAAAGAGAUCAACAGAAGAAAAGUGCUGCCAGUCGUAUGGAUAUGAAGGAGCUCAAAAUGGGGUAGGAUUUUUCUCCAAUACUAAUCCUAUAUAUGUUUAACCUUCAUCUUUCUCUAUUAAUCUAGUAUUAUUCCUUCCUAGCUUGUUAGAAUGUUGUAUCAUUUGGCAAAAACUCACGACAUGCUUUAAUAAGCAUAUCAAAGCGGACAUCCUCAUUCUGACCAUUGGAUAGAGAGUAAAUGGUCUAGAUUAGCCAUAUGUUAAAUUUCAGAGCCCCCUGUAUUUCUAUGUUCGCCUAUGUAUCUCUGAACCCUACUUCACACUCUCCUGUGGUCAAAAUUUUAAGCUCUAUUUUGCCACUUGUGAAACUCCCUUUUUGCUGAAAUUUGAUAUUUAAGCAGGGGACCAUGAUAUUUUUCUCUUGCCCGUGAAGCUGGUAGCUGUGUUUGAUUGCAAGGUGUUAGAAAGCAUCGUAGGAGAGGGAGGAGACUGCAAGAUAGCGCAGACUCCUCCCCACUAUAAAGUUAGUUCCCCAAUUGGGGUAGGAGUCUUAGUACACUAGGACUUGUGGUAAUUUACUAAUUAGAUUAAUUAGUUGUUAGCUAAUUAGUUUCCAGCUAAUUAGUUUCCUAGUUUGUUUCAUAUUCCUAGUCAGAGUAGGACAGCUGUCCUACUACUAUUGUAGUUGAGAAUUAUCUAUUUAAGACGGCAGUCCAAUCUACAAGAUUGAGUCUGCCCACCGUAAAAGGCUCUCACUCUCUUCUCUCUCGGUCUCUCUCCCUCUCUUUUACUUAUUCUAUAUUUUCUACAUGGUAUCAGAGCUUGUCUGAUCCACACAAUAACAAUCGGUCCUACUUUCUAACCUCCUAGUUAGAAAAAAAGAAAAAAGAAAAAAAAGGGUCUACGACUUCUGGUCUCUCUCUAAGAAUCUCGCGUCUCCUUUAAGGGGGUGUUUUUCAUCCCCUAGUUGGCUGAGAAUGGGAAUGGAGGACUGAAUGUGAGAAUCUGUCAUAUGUGUUAAAAGAGGUGACUCAAAUUAGUAGAAGAGAGUCUGGUUUUGGAAUUCUUUUGGAUUGAAGAAAUUCUGGAUUUCCCUUUGAAUCGAUCUCCAGAAAAUAGGCCAAUCGAAGUCAGAUCUGUUCAAGGUUUUGCAGGCUGAUUUAGUACCUUCUAAAGAGCCUUCGAUCCUUAGCUGAAGGAUAUCUGAGGACCUCUGCUGCUGGAAUUGAAGAUUACUGCUGUUUUCUCUCUCUUCAAGACCUAGAAUCAAGAAGUUUAAGAACUUUGUAUCUGACCAUCAGAAUCUGCCAAGAUUUAUUGGUUUUUGUUGCCUAUAAAAGAGCUACACCCGACCCAAUUUUCAGCCCAAACUGAAGUGUGCAAGUCUCAACCGCAACUGCCCAGGUUAACUCCUAUCGCAGGUUCUCUCUCCUCAUUCUUUGGGUCUGUUUUUUUCAUAAUCUGGGUGAAAUUGUAGAGUCUAUCUCUGAUUAUGUUGUGCUAAUAUUUGGACCUAUUUAGUGCCAAUAUCAGGGGACUAGUUUGAGUACCAUUGAGGGUACUAUUUCUGAUUUUUUGGGGACUGUUCUGAACAGUACUUUGCUGUUAUUUGACGUACUGUUUGGAGUAUUUUUGAGGACUGUUUUGAACAACUUUGGGGGUACUUUUUUGAAGGAAC